GAACGCUGGCGGCGUGCUUAACACAUGCAAGUCGAACGGUGAAGCCCUUCGGGGUGGAUCAGUGGCGAACGGGUGAGUAACACGUGGGCAAUCUGCCCUGCACUCUGGGACAAGCCUUGGAAACGAGGUCUAAUACCGGAUAUGACUCCUGGGGGCAUCCCUGGGAGUGGAAAGCUCCGGCGGUGCAGGAUGAGCCCGCGGCCUAUCAGCUUGUUGGUGGGGUGAUGGCCUACCAAGGCGACGACGGGUAGCCGGCCUGAGAGGGCGACCGGCCACACUGGGACUGAGACACGGCCCAGACUCCUACGGGAGGCAGCAGUGGGGAAUAUUGCACAAUGGGCGAAAGCCUGAUGCAGCGACGCCGCGUGAGGGAUGAAGGCCUUCGGGUUGUAAACCUCUUUCAGCAGGGAAGAAGCGCAAGUGACGGUACCUGCAGAAGAAGCACCGGCUAACUACGUGCCAGCAGCCGCGGUAAUACGUAGGGUGCGAGCGUUGUCCGGAAUUAUUGGGCGUAAAGAGCUCGUAGGCGG
This 530-nucleotide ribosomal RNA is filed under the name Streptacidiphilus jiangxiensis. RNAcentral describes it as "bacterial SSU rRNA". It matches the Rfam family "Bacterial small subunit ribosomal RNA", at positions 31 to 578 of the family's 1533-position model. The record is from RNAcentral. Lineage: Bacteria; Bacillati; Actinomycetota; Actinomycetes; Kitasatosporales; Streptomycetaceae.